GUCUGAUGUGAAAGCCCCCGGCUCAACCGGGGAGGGUCAUUGGAAACUGGGAGACUUGAGUGCAGAAGAGAGAAGUGGAAUUCCUUGUGUAGCGGUGAAUUGGGAAGAUAUAUGGAGGAACCACCAGUGGCGACGGCGGCUCUCUGGUCUGUAACUGACGUUGAGGCUGGAAAGCGUGGGGACCAAACAGGUUCAGAUACCUUGGUGGUCCACGCCGUAAACGUUGAGUGUUAAGUGUGGGAGGGUUUCCGCCUUUCAUUGCGGCAGCUAACGCAUUAACCAUUCGGCUUGGGGAGUACGACCGCAAGGUUGAAAUUCAAGGGAAUGGAGGGGGGCCCGCCCAAGCGGUGGAGCAUGUGGUUUAUUUGGAAGCAACGCGAAGACCCUUACCAGGUCUUGACUUCCUUUGACCACUCAAAAAAAAGAGCUUCCCCUUCGGGGGCAAAGUGCCGGGUGGUGCAUGGUGGUGGUCAGCUCGGGUCUUGAGAUGUUGGGUUAAUUCCCGCAACGAGCGCAACCCUUAUUUUUAGUUGCCAUCAUUCAGUUGGCCACUCAACCAAGACGGCCGGUGCCAAACCGGAGGAAGGUGGGGAUGACGUCAAAUCUUCAUCCCCUUUUUGCCCUGGGCUA
This 630-nucleotide ribosomal RNA is filed under the name Enterococcus durans. Its description in RNAcentral is "bacterial SSU rRNA". It matches the Rfam family "Bacterial small subunit ribosomal RNA", at positions 587 to 1216 of the family's 1533-position model. Lineage: Bacteria; Bacillati; Bacillota; Bacilli; Lactobacillales; Enterococcaceae. The record is from RNAcentral.